Molecule: ribosomal RNA, 1213 nt
Filed under: Torleya mikhaili
Lineage: Eukaryota; Metazoa; Arthropoda; Insecta; Ephemeroptera; Ephemerellidae
Description: 16S ribosomal RNA
Rfam family: Bacterial large subunit ribosomal RNA
Source: RNAcentral
AGUUUAAUGUUUAUAGCGUAAGGGGUUGGUUUUAUAAAAUAAUAAAUUGUUAUAGUACAUAAUAUGAAAUUAAUUAGUUAUUAAGAACUGAAAAGGGUGUUUGAGAUAUCAAUAAACUAUAAGAAAGGAAUAAACUAGUGUACCUUUUGUAUCAGGGUUUAUUAAAUACAAAAUAAUUAUUUCAUUCUCGAUUUAAAGAGAGCUAAUCUCUUAAUUAAGUUAAAGUAACAAAUUUAUAUAAAAUAGGGGGAUAGGAGUGAAAUGCUAAACGAUCUUUAAGGUAUCUAGUUUCUUAAGAAAUGAAUUUAAUUCAGGUACUUUAGGUUAAUGAAAUUUAAAUAAAGUACUAAUACUUUAGGGGAUAAGCUCUAGAGUACUCUUAUAAAUAAUAUAACACGGGGUUUAGUAGGCUUAGAAGUAGCCAUUUAAAUAGUUUUAUAACUUACCUUUAAGAAUGUUAAUUUUUAUAAUUUUAAUCUGUUAUUAAGAUAUCUUUACGAACAAUAAGUAAAGAAAAACAAUGAUAAAAUAAUUAUAUAGGAAAGGUCUUGUUAGGGAAUUCGGCAAAUAUGUGUUCGCCUGUUUAUCAAAAACAUCGCCUUUAGGGGAAAUUAAAGGUACCGCCUGCCCACUGAGUAUUUUAAGGGCCGCGGUAUUUUGACCGUGCAAAGGUAGCAUAAUCAUUAGUCUCAUAAUUGGAGACUGGAAUGAAGGGCAUGACGAGGCACAGACUGUCCCCAUGAGAAGGAUAAAAUUUUACUUUUUAGUGAAAAGGCUAAAAUGAAGUUAAAGGACGAGAAGACCCUAUAGAACUUUAUAAAAUUAAGGUUAGUAUUUUAGAAAAAGGUAAAUUCUUAAUCGUAUCUUUAUUGUGUUGGGGUGAUAGGGCAAUACAUAAACUUGCCUUUAAAUAGAACAUUUAUAUGUGAAUAGCAGAACCAGCAUUGCUGAUUAAAAAAUUAAGUUACCUUAGGGAUAACAGCGUAAUCUUUUUAGAGAGCCCAAAUCGAUAACAAGGGUUGCGACCUCGAUGUUGGAUUAAAGGUAAGCCCGGGUGCAGCAGCUCGGGUUUGAGGUCUGUUCGACCAGAAAACUUUACAUGAUCUGAGUUCAGACCGGCGUGAGCCAGGUCGGUUUCUAUCCUUAACAAAGUAAGUGCUUUAGUACGAAAGGACCAAGUACUAGGGAUUAAGCCCUAAAAUUUGAAUACCAG